This is a non-coding RNA of Citreicella sp. 357, 21 nucleotides long. The record is from Rfam. NCBI's taxonomy places the organism in Bacteria, Pseudomonadati, Pseudomonadota, Alphaproteobacteria, Rhodobacterales, Roseobacteraceae.
CGUGGUGCGUACGAUAACGCA